GAAGUGCGAUAAGCAAUGCGAAUUGCAGAAUUCCGCGAAUCAUCAGAUCUUUGAACGCAAAUGGCGCCGGAGGGAUAUCCUUUCGGCAUGUCUGUUUCAGUGUCUGAGAGGUUUCACAUCAAUCUUAAUGUGAUUGACGGUGGUGGUGGUGGUGUGGCAACUCACUGCUGCUGCUGCUGUCUCUCAUGAAAGAUGCGCGAGUGGAUCUUUCGGUCCAGUGAAGUGGUCACAUCACUCGCAUGUGAUUUCAUUGGAAGCACCGAAUUAUCCGCAUGCUCGUGAUUACCAUAAUAAUAACAACAGGGAGUGACGACGACGUCGUCGUCGUCGUCGCUCUCUGUUCUCUCUCUACACCCUGCAUCUGAGACAGGCAAGAUCACCCGCUGAACUUAAGC
RNAcentral lists this unclassified non-coding RNA (395 nucleotides) under plant metagenome. RNAcentral describes it as "partial contains 5.8S ribosomal RNA, internal transcribed spacer 2, and large subunit ribosomal RNA". The stretch from base 1 to 105 matches the Rfam family "5.8S ribosomal RNA", at positions 50 to 154 of the family's 154-position model. The record is from RNAcentral.